RNAcentral lists this long non-coding RNA (378 nucleotides) under Phoenix dactylifera (date palm). RNAcentral's name for it is "long non-coding RNA (PDAC_LNC007984)". Lineage: Eukaryota; Viridiplantae; Streptophyta; Magnoliopsida; Arecales; Arecaceae. The record is from RNAcentral.
ACCUAGCAGCAUGUAGUGGCAACCCAGCAGAAUAGAAUGAAUGAACCUCUAGGUGCAGUUAUCGUAUGAUACAGUCCUUUUAUCGUGGAUCCCUACAAGAUGGAGGUCAUGGAUAACUCGUCAAACCCUAUCAUCUGUCAUAUGUCCAGAUUUAUUCGACUAUAGUUCGAAAGUAAAAAAUUUCUUUUCCACUGUAUAUACUGCCCCGGGCGAAGUCUUUCGAACUCAGUCCUAUAAAUCACAUAGAACCACUCCUUAUCUACCAAGGUCGAUGGAUUCCAUAUAGGUGUAUACCCUACUCCUACAGUGAACCUACUGCAGCCAAUCUGCACCACAAGAAUCCAUAUGGCUAGAGACCAUAUAUAUGUGCAGUCAAAC